UGACAGUCGGAAGAGGGUGCGGGGAAGACAGUCGAGGUAGAGAAGUUUGCACCUCAGACCCAGGAGGGUUCUAAUUCCCCGCACGGCCAGCUUGGCCCCACAAGAGGCGUCCUUGGUGGAGAGCUUUGGACGUUCGAAAUAGGGAGUGAGCACGUUAGCUAGGACGCCCAUUCAUUUCCCUCCUCAACAAACAUAGUUAGCGUUCCUGCAAAGGCCCUUGAAAUACCUUGAAAUAAGUCAGUGAAAGACAGCCCUGCCACCGGCUGUCAGUAAGGCACCCAGAGGAGUAAACAGGAAAUUACAAUAAGGAGAGACGAUUGUGCUGCCAGAGAAAAGUGCCUGGCGCCUGAGGAGUCCAGGGCGCCUGGCCAGCAUGGCCUGGGGAGCAGGCGUGGAAGUUCUCUUAGAAGGCCUCCCACAAGACUGGCCGAGCUUGAAGCCACUUGAGGUCUAGGCGAGGGCGGGGGUUCGGAGAGGAAACAGGAAGAGAAGGCAGAGGCCGAAGGUGCGCUGGGGGCAGAGGGCGACCCUGCUGCAGGGAGGAGGAACAGAAUCCAGAUGAGGAAGAGCCUGAGCCAAGACGGAGGUCAAACAGCGGGGUGAAUUCAGGAAAUGUCCGGUUCCUCCUGGCUCUGUGUCUCAGACUUUCUUUGUUUUGGUGACCUUGACAGUUUUGAGGAAUCCUGGGCAGGUGUUUUGCAAAAUGUCCCUCAGAUUUGGCGGCCGCGGCAGACCCCAAAGAAGACUGUGGAUAGGCGUGGUAGCUGCGAACCCCUUUUUGAGUUCACUGUCUUUCUCACCGUUUCCCAGGGCUGUGGGUGAGAAAAAGGGGACUUCCAGAGAAGUAAAAUAACUUGCCCCGAAGCCACCCAGACAGAAGUUGGCGGCAUCUUGCACCAGGGCAAGGAACAACAGGUGGGGUCAGCGUCUUGCCGGGCUUCCCAGAACCCAGUGGGACUGCGCAGGGCCUCUCUAAAGCUCAAAGGACCUGCUAGUUUUGGGGCUUCCCCGAACGAUCCCUGCCCUGCCCCCCAGGAACCUUAGAGAGCAGCUCUGUGGAAAAAAGGAGGCAGAAAGUGGUGUGGAGGAACUACUGGUCUUUAAGAGGUUCUUCAAGAGAGUGUGACUUUCUCUUAGACAAGGCUUGCAGAGGGCAGGAGGAGGAAGAGGGAGGUGGCUGGCGGAAAUGAUUCCUGGGAAGAGCGGGGGCGGCAGGGAGGGAGAGGGCGGCUUACUUAGUUUAGUCUUUGAGGCCACAAAGGAGACAGGCGGCAGGGGAGAUUGGAAAUCCAGCCCCCCACUAAGCAUAAGAGGGGUGGGUGGGUGUCGUGCAAAUGGAAGGGAGCCACCACGGACCACUGCUGUAGGAAGGAACUUGAAAUCAGCCACCAGCCGGGAAGACAGGACGAAAGGGCACACAGACACAAGAAGGAUCUAGAGGCAUGUAAGGUGGACAGGUCCCUAAGCUAAAGGGAUUUGGAAGCUGCCUCUGUCCAAGAGGUUAAAGAGCUCACAUGCACAGGCCCGGGUGUCCAGCCCAGAGAGACCAGAGGGGAAGCCAGGGAAAGAUCUGGAAGGAUGGGCGAUGUGCAGCUGAGGGGCUGCUGCAGAUGGUCUGGACUUCUCGCUGCAGCAAGAGGCUGGAGACUAGGGGAGAGGGCACCUGGGGCAGAGACUCCAAGGUCAAGAACAGGUCAAGGGUCCCUUGAGCCUUCCUGUGAGGGCAGUGGCUCAGCAGUAGCAAGUGUCUAACAACACAAAUGAUUUGAAUCAGAGCACGUUUCACGCAGGAAGGAGCUCAUCUGUUGCCACAAUCUUCACCCCUCCCCGCCUCACACCCAGGAGGGUCACUUCAUUUCUGUGACCGGCUGGCUCUCAUGGGUGCCAGAUUUUUGACCUUUGAGACACCUGCAAUGCCACCUUUGGAGACCCCAGGUUGGGGGAGGGGACGAGAGAGGAGGCUGGCGUCCCAAGGGCCCCUAACUUUGCCCAAUGCCCUCUCCUCAGAUGCUGCUCCUUGGUACCACGUCUGUACGGGUCCUCGGGGAGGGACUGUUGUGCCUUUAGCGGCUCUGGUACUGCCCAUAAAUGUCAACAGCGCCCUCUAGUUUUUGUAACAGUCACACAUGCCUCCCUGGAAGUAGGGGUGAGAUCACUCUAACUGAGAGCUCCUGGAGCCCCUCUUUGGUGCUGGGGAAGUGACUUCCACCCCUGCCAGAAUUUUCUUGGCAUAGAAGCACAGAGACACAGAAGCCAGUGU
This is a long non-coding RNA of Neofelis nebulosa (Clouded leopard), 2260 nucleotides long. RefSeq lists it as uncharacterized. The record is from RefSeq and is a predicted model, not a curated record. NCBI's taxonomy places the organism in Eukaryota, Metazoa, Chordata, Mammalia, Carnivora, Felidae. The transcript is spliced from 4 exons.